CGGAGAACAGAGUCAGAACUGGAAGAGAGGCAGUGGAAUUUGUUGUGAUCUAGCAUAUUCGGGAGUCCGAACAAAGGGAUCUUUCUUAUCAAAAGCUAAGUGCCAUUUUUCUUAUUAGUGUAUGUUUAGAUUGCCCUUAGAAAUAGAUUUUGUCUAAAUUUGGUAUGUUAGCCUGAGUAAAAUCAGGUGGUGCUGAAGCCUUAAACCCGUUCGGGGUAAAGACAUAAUUUAGAUGAAAAACUAUAUUAUACGUUUAGGAUUGUAAUUUGUUUUGUUUGUGUAAACGUCAUAUCCGUUGUUGCUUAGUUACUUCGUGACGUUAUCAUUGUGUGCCAUAUUGUCAUAUCCCAACCCAUAGCGAUAGUCUCAUUUAAUUAUUUCAUUUGUUUAUAUUAUUUUAAAUUAUUUAUUUUUAUUAAUUUAAUUAGAUCUGUAUUUUUUUUCACUUAAUGAUAGAAAGUGCGGGUAGGAUUCUUUUACUGUGAAUCAGACUAAAAUAAUUUUAGUUUGAGCGGUUAAAAUCAAAUAUGAUUUUGCCAUGAGAAUAAUGCCGAAACUGGCUAUGUAGUCAAACACUGUCGUCUGGCUAAAUAUAGAUCUACAAAUUGUUGUACAUCUCUUUCGUACAAUUAAAUCAUCUAGACUCUAAUUUGAAAUAUUAUUAAUUGAAAAAUGAAUGAAGAUUACUGCCAGUGAAGAACGCUUGUGACGUGUGACGUGUCCAUAAGAUGCCACAUUUUCUUUUAUGAUGAACUGUGUACUAAUGAAGAUGAUUCUGGAAUGUUAUGAACAUUGACAUUGAAUAUGAGGAACUGUCAAGUCAAGAUGAAGAUGUCAAGAUGAAGAUGUCAAGAUGAAGAUGUCAAGAUUUUAUGUUUGUUGUCUUCCCCUUAAAUUGAAAAUGCCCUUGUAAGACUUGACAGUAGUGGAAAAAUAUUGACAUAUUUUUUUUUCAAGGGGGGGAGGAAUCUGUUAGACACCUUAUUUAUAUAGGUUAGUUAUUUUAGUUAUUUAGCGACGCACCAUAGUAGACGCAUAUUGAACGGGACUAGUGACGUUUGGGAUAUGUUGGGUUAGAGACCGGAAAAUCAGUUAGCGAUAGAACAAUCCAGGGUAACGACGUGUUUAGUGACAGAGACUUCUACUGUGGCCUUUUAUCAGAAUAAAUCCAUGUACAAUUGUU
Molecule: long non-coding RNA, 1183 nt
Organism: Biomphalaria glabrata
Lineage: Eukaryota; Metazoa; Mollusca; Gastropoda; Planorbidae
Exons: 2
Source: RefSeq, a predicted model, not a curated record